GAUGAACGCUGGCGGCGUGCCUAAUACAUGCAAGUCGAGCGAACGGACGAGAAGGUUGCUUCUCUGAUGUUAGCGGCGGACGGGUGAGUAAGACGUGGAUAACCUACCUAUAAGACUGGGAUAACUUCGGGAAACCGGAGCUAAUACCGGAUAAUAUUUCGAACCGCAUGGUGCAAAAGUGAAUGACGGUCUUGCUGUCACUUAUAGAUGGAUCCGCGCUGCAUUAGCUAGUUGGUAAGGUAACGGCUUACCAAGGCAACGAUGCAUAGCCGACCUGAGAGGGUGAUCGGCCACACUGGAACUGAGACACGGUCCAGACUCCUACGGGAGGCAGCAGUAGGGAAUCUUCCGCAAUGGGCGAAAGCCUGACGGAGCAACGCCGCGUGAGUGAUGAAGGUCUUCGGAUCGUAAAACUCUGUUAUUAGGGAAGAACAUAUGUGUAAGUAACUGUGCACAUCUUGACGGUACCUAAUCAGAAAGCCACGGCUAACUACGUG
Molecule: ribosomal RNA, 497 nt
Filed under: uncultured bacterium
Lineage: Bacteria
Description: partial 16S ribosomal RNA
Rfam family: Bacterial small subunit ribosomal RNA
Source: RNAcentral